CAGUCGAACGAGUUCUGAUUAUUGAAAGGUGCUUGCAUCUUGAUUUAAUUUUGAACGAGUGGCGGACGGGUGAGUAACACGUGGGUAACCUGCCCUUAAGUGGGGGAUAACAUUUGGAAACAGAUGCUAAUACCGCAUAAAUCCAAGAACCGCAUGGUUCUUGGCUGAAAGAUGGCGUAAGCUAUCGCUUUUGGAUGGACCCGCGGCGUAUUAGCUAGUUGGUGAGGUAACGGCUCACCAAGGCAAUGAUACGUAGCCGAACUGAGAGGUUGAUCGGCCACAUUGGGACUGAGACACGGCCCAAACUCCUACGGGAGGCAGCAGUAGGGAAUCUUCCACAAUGGACGCAAGUCUGAUGGAGCAACGCCGCGUGAGUGAAGAAGGCUUUCGGGUCGUAAAACUCUGUUGUUGGAGAAGAAUGGUCGGCAGAGUAACUGUUGUCGGCGUGACGGUAUCCAACCAGAAAGCCACGGCUAACUACGUGCCAGCAGCCGCGGUAAUACGUAGGUGGCAAGCGUUAUCCGGAUUUAUUGGGCGUAAAGCGAGCGCAGGCGGUUUUUUAAGUCUGAUGUGAAAGCCCUCGGCUUAACCGAGGAAGUGCAUCGGAAACUGGGAAACUUGAGUGCAGAAGAGGACAGUGGAACUCCAUGUGUAGCGGUGAAAUGCGUAGAUAUAUGGAAGAACACCAGUGGCGAAGGCGGCUGUCUGGUCUGUAACUGACGCUGAGGCUCGAAAGCAUGGGUAGCGAACAGGAUUAGAUACCCUGGUAGUCCAUGCCGUAAACGAUGAAUGCUAGGUGUUGGAGGGUUUCCGCCCUUCAGUGCCGCAGCUAACGCAUUAAGCAUUCCGCCUGGGGAGUACGACCGCAAGGUUGAAACUCAAAGGAAUUGACGGGGGCCCGCACAAGCGGUGGAGCAUGUGGUUUAAUUCGAAGCAACGCGAAGAACCUUACCAGGUCUUGACAUCUUUUGAUCACCUGAGAGAUCAGGUUUCCCCUUCGGGGGCAAAAUGACAGGUGGUGCAUGGUUGUCGUCAGCUCGUGUCGUGAGAUGUUGGGUUAAGUCCCGCAACGAGCGCAACCCUUAUGACUAGUUGCCAGCAUUUAGUUGGGCACUCUAGUAAGACUGCCGGUGACAAACCGGAGGAAGGUGGGGAUGACGUCAAAUCAUCAUGCCCCUUAUGACCUGGGCUACACACGUGCUACAAUGGAUGGUACAACGAGUUGCGAGACCGCGAGGUCAAGCUAAUCUCUUAAAGCCAUUCUCAGUUCGGACUGUAGGCUGCAACUCGCCUACACGAAGUCGGAAUCGCUAGUAAUCGCGGAUCAGCACGCCGCGGUGAAUACGUUCCCGGGCCUUGUACACACCGCCCGUCACACCAUGAGAGUUUGUAACACCCGAAGCCGGUGG
This 1409-nucleotide ribosomal RNA is filed under the name Lacticaseibacillus rhamnosus. RNAcentral's name for it is "bacterial SSU rRNA". It matches the Rfam family "Bacterial small subunit ribosomal RNA", at positions 59 to 1433 of the family's 1533-position model. The record is from RNAcentral. Lineage: Bacteria; Bacillati; Bacillota; Bacilli; Lactobacillales; Lactobacillaceae.